This 74-nucleotide transfer RNA is filed under the name Glossogobius aureus (golden tank goby). RNAcentral describes it as "tRNA-Trp". Lineage: Eukaryota; Metazoa; Chordata; Actinopteri; Gobiiformes; Gobiidae. The record is from RNAcentral.
AAAGGCUUAGGAUAGAACCACAAGACCGGAGGCCUUCAAAGCCCCAAGCAAGAGUGAAAACCUCUUAGCCUUUG